UCAGAACUGACUUUGAAAUUCAGCUGAGGAAAGGCAGCAGAGAGUUUGAGAAGAGUACACAGCAGUCAUAAGGCUAGGGCUUCUAUCCCACUCACAGCGCUCCAUGACUCUAAGGCCCAAGGUAAAGAUUCAGAUUUGACAGUGAAUUCCCUCUGCACGACUUUCCAUUGGAAGGCAUCUGAGGCUGGUGCAGGCGACAGAGCAGUAGCAUGUCUCGAAAGCAAAUGGAGACACUUUAAAGGAGAGGUUCAAAGGAAAACAGCCCAGGUUCUAGACGAUGACACGUGAAUAAAGUCUUCAUCUGGCGUCGUGGCCUCAAACAGACACACAGUUCCAAAUCAAGCCCUGCAGCUGCAUCUCCUGAACUCUGAUCCAAACCAUGCUCCUGGUCUAGAGGAACCACUGAAAGAAAUUUUGUGAUUUCGAACCACCAUGUCCCAUGACCACAGCUGUGGGAGAUGCUGACAGUCAGUUAUUUGCUGAAGAGCAGCGCUAAUCACAUCUCCUUGGACUUCUCAAAAAGUAACUCGGCUGCCUUCCCCAGGUCUUUCAAGUAAGUUCCAAAUUCCUUGCAAUGGGUUUACAUCUUAACCACAAAUACUUUUCAUGCUCAUCUUCUCCCACUCCUCCCUAUGCAGUUUUUUCAAGUACUCAGCUGAUAGAGCUUCCAGAACCUUGAGGUAUUUCAUGUCUUUGAGAUUCUGCCCAUCCCCUCUUUCUUCUCUCACUUCACCAGGCAGCCAGCUGCUCCAGCACACCCUGCAUUACCUAUUCAAAUGGUAGUCAUAUUCCCCAAGAAUAGGCCAGCCUGCUAAAGAUAUAUUAAAUGCGAGGAUGGAGGGUGAAAGUGAGUUAAAGAGGAAUUGAUGAGUCUUAUUUCUAACAGUGUCACAGAUUUCACCGUUUUCAACAUGUACCAUGGGCUUCAUAAAUCAUAUAAUUAUUUCCCUGCUGCAAACUGUGAUUUUGAUGAAAAAAAUCAUCAAACUUCUUUCUAGGCAUUGAGUUUGAUAAGAAGCUUUUUUGCAAUAAUAAGUUUUUGUUGCUACAUAGUGAUUGUGUGUGUAUGAAAUACCUAAAUAUGCAUAACUAUACAAUCUGGGUGAUAUAAACUUACUCUAAGAGGAAAAUGGAACAUAAAAGAAGGGAAGUACCAUUUGUGGUGGGAUAACCACUUGCCAGAGACUGGAUCAAUCAUUUUCCCUGCUAUUUGUUCCCAUAUUAAAGUCAUCAGGGCCAUCUGGUGACCUCUAUGUUGUAGAUCAAGAAAAUGAACUCUUGAGAGUGUAAGUAAUUUGCUCAAGGUCACAUGUAGAGUAAGCACUAAAGUAGAGUUUAAAUCUAAAUCCACCCCUAUCUGGCUCUAAAGACAUUCACUAAUUUAUUUGGGUGAAAAGCUCAUUGUAAACUUCAAAUACUUAAACCGUUUUAUAUCAAAUCUUCUAUAAUUAAAUGGAAAAGGCUUUUCGGAAAAAAAAAAGCAAGUCAGCAGCUACAGCCCCUUCACCCAGAAUUAGCAACUGUUAACAUAUUUGCUUAUAUGCUUUCCUCGUUUUUGUUGUUACCCAAUGAGUUUUCUGGGGGAAAUCCUGCUAUUUAUUUUUAGAAGAGGAAAAAUGUGUAUUACAAAAAUUAAAUCAAUAGAGAAAGUUACCAAAAAGAAUAUAUAAAGAAUCACAUCAAUUUCUACCAUUAAGUGCACAUGUGAAAGUGGGAUG
Molecule: non-coding RNA, 1718 nt
Organism: Oryctolagus cuniculus (rabbit)
Lineage: Eukaryota; Metazoa; Chordata; Mammalia; Lagomorpha; Leporidae
Source: RefSeq, a predicted model, not a curated record